UACGUAGGGUCCAAGCGUUAGUCGGAAUUACUGGGCGUAAAGCGUGCGCAGGCGGUUGUGCAAGACCGAUGUGAAAUCCCCGAGCUCAACUUGGGAACUGCGUUUGAAACUCCAAAGCUAGAGUAUAGGAGAGGGGGGUAGAAUUCCACGUGUAGCAGUGAAAUGCGUAGAGAUGUGGAGGAAUACCAAUGGCGAAGGCAGCCCCCUGGCCUAAUACUGACGCUCAUGCACGAAAGCGUGGGGAGCAAACAGGAUUAGAAACCCUAGUAGUCC
This 273-nucleotide ribosomal RNA is filed under the name uncultured Methylophilaceae bacterium. RNAcentral describes it as "partial 16S ribosomal RNA". It matches the Rfam family "Bacterial small subunit ribosomal RNA", at positions 524 to 796 of the family's 1533-position model. The record is from RNAcentral. Lineage: Bacteria; Pseudomonadati; Pseudomonadota; Betaproteobacteria; Nitrosomonadales; Methylophilaceae.